GUCGAGAAUCUUUCACAAUGGGGGCAACCCUGAUGGAGCGACGCCGCGUGGAGGAUAAGGUCUUCGGAUUGUAAACUCCUGUCAUGCGUGAACAAGGUUGCUUGGUUAAUACCUGGGCAAAUUGAUGGUAACGCAAGAGGAAGAGACGGCUAACUCUGUGCCAGCAGCCGCGGUAAUACAGAGGUCUCAAGCGUUGUUCGGAAUCACUGGGCGUAAAGGGUGCGUAGGUGGCGUGGUAAGUCAGAUGUGAAAGCCCGGGGCUCAACCUCGGAACAGCAUCCGAUACUGCCAUGCUAGAGUACUGGAGAGGUGACUAGAAUUCUCGGUGUAGCAGUGAAAUGCGUAGAUAUCGAGAGGAAUACCAAAGGCGUAGGCAGGUCACUGGACAGUUACUGACACUGAGGCACGAAGGCCAGGGGAGCGAACGGGAUUAGAUACCCGGGUAGUCC
This 449-nucleotide ribosomal RNA is filed under the name uncultured bacterium. RNAcentral's name for it is "partial 16S ribosomal RNA". It matches the Rfam family "Bacterial small subunit ribosomal RNA", at positions 354 to 796 of the family's 1533-position model. The record is from RNAcentral.